UGGGAAAGUUCAAGGUUACAGCCCGGAGCCCUGCCGCAGGAUUCCCGAGUGGCGAUCGCAGGCGAAACUUUGCCGCGAGCCGACCAUGUUGCAUCCAAAAGUUUCCCACAGGCUUAAAAAGGGAAAAUGGACAACCGUUACACAGAAGAGCCCACAAAAGCUGCAGCAACACACAGAGGGGUAAAGGAGCAGCCACAGACACAGGUCUGCAGGACAUAUGGAAGAACUCUCCCAUCAUGCAAGGGAGAAAAUGAAACUCUCUACUGGCCUCUAUCAGGGACGCUAACAUUUCUCCUCUCCCAUGCAAGUUUUCCAAACCACAAGAUUCUGAUUUCCAGGAACCAGAGGAGAGGAACAGCUUUUUUCAGAGUGAGGCCCUCAGACCUUUCCCGGCUGCCUGGACAAAGGUUUGGAAUGAAUACAAUAGCGAACCAUCCUGCCUUGGACCCGAAUCUAGAUUGAUGACCUAAUACAUCUCUGCCUGCCAUAGCUUUAUGAGCAUCAAGAACUGGGCGCCUGCCACUAUCAACAAACAGAGCUUCCCCAGAGCUUAUCCAUCCACAGAAACUCAAGUAUCCCCCACAGCACAGCUCACAGUCUCCCAGGGCUCACGGCGCUUCCUUGAGCUUUCACCACACGUGACACGGAAACUCCUCUUUGCCAGGAUCAUUCUUAAAGGAGAGGAAGUGUGCCCGUUCCUCUCCCGUGUCAUCUUGGUUUUCGAACAGAGCAAUCACUGAGAAGCUAAGGAAGCUUAGCACCAGCGUCCUCCUGGUCCAGGGCCCCUCAUUUUGUAUUUGUACUUUUGCAUUCUUUUCGUCAAAAGAAUCCCCUCGAUUGUAUAAACUAUAGGCCAUCCCCUCCCCACCGCCCUCCCCCAAAUUGGGAUCUGCUCCUCAAUCCAAGA
This is a long non-coding RNA of Myotis myotis, 907 nucleotides long. RefSeq lists it as uncharacterized. The transcript has 4 exons. The record is from RefSeq and is a predicted model, not a curated record. NCBI's taxonomy places the organism in Eukaryota, Metazoa, Chordata, Mammalia, Chiroptera, Vespertilionidae.